Molecule: ribosomal RNA, 250 nt
Filed under: uncultured prokaryote
Description: partial 16S ribosomal RNA
Rfam family: Bacterial small subunit ribosomal RNA
Source: RNAcentral
UACGUAGGAUCCGAGCAUUAUCCGGAGUGACUGGGCGUAAAGAGUUGCGUAGGUGGUGUCUCAAGUAGCUAGUGAAAUCUGGUGGCUCAACCAUUCAGACUGUUAGCUAAACUGGGAUACUCGAGAGCGUCAGGGGUGACUGGAAUUUCUAGUGUAGGAGUGAAAUCCGUAGAUAUUAGAAGGAACACCAAUAGCGUAGGCAGGUCACUAGGGCGUUUCUGACACUAAGGCACGAAAGCGUAGGGAGCAA